CCUACGGGGCGCAGCAGUGGGGAAUAUUGGACAAUGGGCGAAAGCCUGAUCCAGCCAUGCCGCGUGUGUGAAGAAGGCCUUCGGGUUGUAAAGCACUUUCAGUGGGGAAGAAAGCCUUGGGGCUAAUACCCUCGAGGAAGGACAUCACCCACAGAAGAAGCACCGGCUAACUCCGUGCCAGCAGCCGCGGUAAUACGGAGGGUGCGAGCGUUAAUCGGAAUUACUGGGCGUAAAGCGCGCGUAGGCGGUCUGAUAAGCCGGUUGUGAAAGCCCCGGGCUCAACCUGGGAACGGCAUCCGGAACUGUCAGGCUAGAGUGCAGGAGAGGAAGGUAGAAUUCCCGGUGUAGCGGUGAAAUGCGUAGAGAUCGGGAGAAAUACCAGUGGCGAAGGCGGCCUUCUGGACUGACACUGACGCUGAGGUGCGAAAGCGUGGGUAGCAAACAGGAUUAGAUACCCCUGUAGUC
This 465-nucleotide ribosomal RNA is filed under the name Vreelandella stevensii. Its description in RNAcentral is "partial 16S ribosomal RNA". It matches the Rfam family "Bacterial small subunit ribosomal RNA", at positions 338 to 795 of the family's 1533-position model. Lineage: Bacteria; Pseudomonadati; Pseudomonadota; Gammaproteobacteria; Oceanospirillales; Halomonadaceae. The record is from RNAcentral.